This 122-nucleotide ribosomal RNA is filed under the name Echinops telfairi (small Madagascar hedgehog). Lineage: Eukaryota; Metazoa; Chordata; Mammalia; Afrosoricida; Tenrecidae. The record is from RNAcentral.
GGGACCAAGCAAGUCACAGCCCUAACCACGCCUGGUCUUGUCUAUCUCAGAAGCUAACUAGGGCCGAGCCUGGCUACUACUUGGAUGUAAGACUACCUGGGAAUAAGGAGCCCUGGGAGCAC